GACCUGCGUUCCCUUGAAAAGCUACUGAAUUCCUCUUCAGUUUUCACCUCUCAACUGGGGAUCGUGAUGCUCCCAGGCUAGGAAGAUGAAAUGAAAUCAGAACAACGCAAUGAUCUGGAGGGCCAUAACAUGGAUGAACCUUGAAAACAUGAUGCUGAGGGAAAGAAGCCACUCACAAAGGACCACGUAGUGUAUGAUUCCAUUCAUAUGAAAUCUGCAGAAAAGGGUUCAAGUCCCGGUGUUCUCGGGCAGGAAGACGCUGUGCUGGCACAGUGGACAUGUUGCUCCGCAGAAGGUCUGCUCCCCUCCAGCCCACUGGCCCCCUCUUGUCGCGCAGCCCAGGGACAGUUCACGGAUUCGAAAGUUCUCCUUGGAACGUGUUUUAAAUUCUCACUGCACAUGCGACAAAGGUGACAACCUUUCUGCUAAACAGAACACAGAGAUACUUCUUCUUGCUGCCAGGUAACAGGUUGGGUGAGGCAUCAAAUCUAUGCCCCAUCAAUGACGUCACAGUGUCU
Molecule: long non-coding RNA, 518 nt
Filed under: Equus asinus (donkey)
Lineage: Eukaryota; Metazoa; Chordata; Mammalia; Perissodactyla; Equidae
Description: lncRNA (ENSEASG00005038203.1)
Source: RNAcentral